RNAcentral lists this ribosomal RNA (253 nucleotides) under uncultured bacterium. RNAcentral describes it as "partial 16S ribosomal RNA". It matches the Rfam family "Bacterial small subunit ribosomal RNA", at positions 524 to 776 of the family's 1533-position model. The record is from RNAcentral.
UACGGGGGGGGCAAGCGUUGUUCGGAAUUACUGGGCGUAAAGGGCUCGUAGGCGGCCAACUAAGUCAGACGUGAAAUCCCCAGGCUCAACCUGGGAACUGCGUCUGAUACUGGAUGGCUUGAAUCCGGGAGAGGGAUGCAGAAUUCCAGGUGUAGCGGUGAAAUGCGUAGAUAUCUGGAGGAACACCGGUGGCGAAGGCGGCAUCCUGGACCAUUACUGACACUGAAAAGCGAAAGCCAGGGGAGCAAACGGG